UGGCCCAAAUCAGACCUGGUUGUUAACCAAAGUACUCAAACAGCUGACCUUAAUUAUCUCUUUAAUUGGGUUGAGUUAACUAGGGGGGGCAAUAACUUUUUCACACCUGAAGAUUGUAUGUUUGAUUACCUUGCACACCAAACAAAUGAAAGAAGCACCAAACUUUGGUGUCAUGUUUUUCUAUCAGACUCCCUCUAUAUACUACUACAACCCACAAAAAAAUCUGACCAAAUACAAUGUGAAAAAUGCAGAAAAUCAGACGGGGCAAAUACUUUUUCACGGCACUGUAGAUCAGAUUUCUGCAUCAUUUUUAAAUGCUGCAAUUGGAAAACAAAACAGGCAGUGCUGUGAAACGGCAGGUCCUGAAAUAUUCAGGCUCGGCCCUGAGGUAAAUGUUCCGGGUCCUGAACCGAAAUAUUCGGCAGUAGCGCAUAGGCUAUUUGUCUAGCCUUAACCCUUUGCGGUCCAUUUAUUAAUCGCGCGUCAGGCACGUCAGAUCUAAUUAAUUUUCACACGCGCAGUUAAUUUUAGACGCGCUGUUUAAAAGUAUUUUUUUCCACAGUCAAACAGGUUUAAAUGGCCCUGCAUAUCAACAAAGCACUCACUAGGCAUCUCCAGCCCCGCCCCACCCUUUCGUUUGUUAUAGCGUUCACCUAUGUAAGAAAUAAAUAAUAAUAAUAAUAAUAGUCGUACAUACCGAUCGAUCAUCUCCGGAUCACUCGUUUUAUCACCAAACUCCUCAAUAAUGCGAUCCAAGUCAUUAUUUUAUUACUAUAACAUCUCAAAAAAGCUCUGCAAAUGUCUGUGUUUUCUGUGAGCUGAUUCAGUCAGCCAACUUGUUUACUUACGACCACCCCGUUAUCUGAUACCGCAAAGGGUUAAUGUCUCUAAGGGGAAACGCCUUAGGGUAGCAUAAUCAUAAAUUACUAAAAUGUGCCAAUUUUCUGCCUGUGUUCUCUCCAAGGGUCCUACUAAGUCCAUCCCUAUUCUUAAAAAAGGUACCCCAAUAAUUGGCAACGGCUGCAAAGGAAAUCGUGCUACUCCCCUACUACUGGUUAGUUGGUACUGUGUGCAAGAGCUACAAUAAGCCUGUACAUCGGAACACAAGCCUGGCCAAUAAAAUUGACUAGCUAUUUGAUCCAGUGUCUUUGUAGUUCCCAAAUGCCCUGCCCAUGGUAUUGUAAGUGCUAUGCCUAACACCUUCUCCCUCAAACUGUUAGGCACAAUCAACUGUUCUUGACCCUUUAUUUCAGAUUUGCAAUACAACUCCCCGUAGUAACUUUACUGGGCUCUGAUGUACUACCUCUAUUUCACACACUCUCUCAAACAGGUUCAAAGACUCAUCCUUCUGUAACAAUCUAAGGUUACUAGGCAAGCUCCACUCCCCUCCUACUUUGGAUUCUGGCUCUGGUUCUUCCUCUUGGCUCAGUUUAGCUGUACCAUUCAUUUUCUCUCUUGGCCUCUGUCUCCUAUUUUUCCUACUCUUCCCUGGUUUAUCUUCCAAUUCAGAGUAAACAAAAGGCAUGGCCUCCAACAUAUUGUCUCCAGAUUGUACUUUAGCUUGGGUCCUAGUUAAUACCAGAUUCACCGGUCUGCAAGUCUGGACUAACUCAGGCAAAAUGGGUAAAUCCUGCCCUAAGAUAACUGGAUAGGGCAAAGUAUCCACUAAACACACCAACAUCAGAAAUGUCUGCCCCUGCACCUCUAAAUACACCUUGGCUGUAGGAUAAGAUUUUUCUUCCCCAUGAAUUCAUCUAAUCCUUAGCCCUGGACCAUUACUCUGCCAUUUCCUCUGCACAAGUCUUGACUGCACCAAAGUCUGUGUACUAACAGUAGCUAUCAAAGCUAACACAGGUUUGUUAUUUAACAUUACAGUGAUGGUCUGUUCCUUACCCUGGCUUCCCAUACACAUUUCCCUUGGUCUAGGCACAUAGCAUAAAUAAGCAAUGUUAUAAUAAUAAUAAUAAUAAUAAUAAUAAUAAUACAUUUUAUUUGGUGGAUGCCUUUCAGGACACUCAAAGACAUCUUACAUUAAAAGUAGGCCUACAUAAAAUCAAGUGCAAUACAUAAAAUCAUGUGCAUCAAUCAACAGUACAAUCUAAAAUCAAAGGAUCAGACAAAACAGAACAGAUAAAAAGAGGAGAGGGGAGUUGGGUAAAGGAUACAAAUCCAGUUUAGGGUAAGGGUUUAGGUUUAGGGGGGUAGGGUUGGGAAUAGGAUACAGACCCGGUUUAGGGUAAGGGUUUGGGUUGGGUGGCACAUAGGGAUACUGGGAAGGCACAGAAGGGGGGGUAGGACAGAGUCAGACAUAGACCAUAGACUAAAAGUCAUAGGUUUCCUGAAAGAGGUGUGUUUUCAGGAGGUUUUUGAAUGAAAUGACUGUGUCUGCAUGUUAUAUAUGUCAGGGGAGUGCAUUCCAGAGCCUGAGUGCCGAGCAGCUAAAGGCCCGGGCACUCAUGGUGGAGAGGCGGAAUGGGGGGGGUGACAAAUGUUAGUUUCCUUUAGGAGGCACUCUAGCUUGAUAUGACCUGGCUGACCACAGUUAUAACAUAUAUGUUUCCCUUUGUCCAUCCUCUCUGGUUUCCCUUUAAUACUUUCCCAGGAUAUUAAGACCACUUCAUUCCCUGACCCCUUCAGACUUACCUCUGGAGAAUGAUCUAGCACUUCGGUGGUACCGGAACUCUCUGGGUUUCCCUCGAGCAGCAACAAAGGCAUCCACCAACUCAGCAGCUUCCAGCGCAGUUCCAGGACUACGUUUGUUCACCCACACUUGUAUUUCAGGAAUGCACACUCCACCAGACCAAACUCCAGUGAGACAACACACCGGUUGGUACAUAAGGCAUCCUGGAAAAUCAAACAACCACAUCUGCCACAUAAUGUUGUGGUGAAAACACAACUUGAGACAUUAAAUAGCACAGAAGAAAGAGACACGCAGAUUUAUUGAAGCCAAAUCAAAUGUGAAAAAUGUUAAUCCCUGCCCAUAAGGCUGGAGAGGUGGGAACAGCAACGGCUGCCCCUGAGGCUGGAGAGGUGGGGACAGCAACGGCUGUACCUGAGGCUGGAGAGAUGGGGACAAAUUUGAAUAGUAGUGCUGAGGGCAGCUAUUAUUCAUGUUGUAUUGCUUUGUCCACUCUCUCUAGAAAGAUCAUGUAAGAAUCAUGCAGGUUUUUAGGCAGUCUGAUGCAUCGCUGCAUUACGCAUCAUUACAUUGAAACCAUUGCUCAUGUUUUUGCACCCAGGCAACAUAGUGACCAUAGCUGAUGGUUUUCCCUUUGUGGAACACAAUUGCCAGAGAUUAAAAUGUUUUCCUAUCAAUUACAACUAUGUCAUGCUUGAAAUUGGCAAGUGCUGUAUUAAUUGCAAUAUCAUAUCAUCCCCCAUAUUGUUUAUUAAUCAACUAAUAAACAAUAUAGGGGAUAAUUAAUUUCUUAAUAAGUUAAUAAACAAAAUUAAAACUCAAACUAAGUUUUUAUUUUAGACAAAUCUUGUUUUUCAUUUGAGGCAAAGAAAGCACUUGUAUGUCAUGCUUUUCUUUCAGUGAUUGAUUACAGAGAUAUUCUUUACAUGCAUGCAGCUGUAUCUAGUCUGAGGAUACUAGACUCUCUUUAUCAUGGAGCUCUUAGAUUUGUAACCAAUCUAGAUCUUUAACUCUUCAUUGUGAGCUGUACAGGCAAAUGGGGUGGACCUCACUUUCUUCACACAGACUGAAGCACUGGUAUAUCUUUGUAUAUAACAUUAUUCUGGGGAAACUUCCAUCUUAUCUUAGUGCUCUGGUAACCACCAGUACUAAUAUUUACCAACUUAGAUCCCAGUCAAUAUUACAUUUUUCAAAACUGCCCCUUGGUCAUGGAACAACAUUC
Long non-coding RNA from Acipenser ruthenus (sterlet), 3860 nucleotides. RefSeq lists it as uncharacterized. NCBI's taxonomy places the organism in Eukaryota, Metazoa, Chordata, Actinopteri, Acipenseriformes, Acipenseridae. The transcript is spliced from 3 exons. The record is from RefSeq and is a predicted model, not a curated record.